CCUGGGCGCAAGCCUUGAUGCCAGCCAUGCCGCGUGAGUGAUGAAGGCCAUAGGGUUGUAAAGCUCUUUCACCUGUGAAGAUAAUGACGGUAACAGGUAAAGAAACCCCGGCUAACUCCGUGCCAGCAGCCGCGGUAAUACNNAGGGGGCUAGCGUUGUUCGGAAUUACUGGGCGUAAAGCGCACGUAGGCGGACUUUUAAGUCAGGGGUGAAAUCCCGGGGCUCAACCCCGGAACUGCCUUUGAUACUGGUAGUCUUGAGUUUGNUAGAGGUGAGUGGAAUUCCGAGUGUAGAGGUGAAAUUCGUAGAUAUUCGGAGGAACACCAGUGGCGAAGGCGGCUUACUGGCUCNAUACUGACGCUGAGGUGCGAAAGNGUGGGGAGCAAACAGGAUUAGAUACCCUGGUAGUCCACACCGUAAACGAUGAAUG
This 430-nucleotide ribosomal RNA is filed under the name uncultured bacterium. RNAcentral's name for it is "bacterial SSU rRNA". It matches the Rfam family "Bacterial small subunit ribosomal RNA", at positions 369 to 815 of the family's 1533-position model. The record is from RNAcentral.